GAUGAACGCUGGCGGCGUGCCUAAUACAUGCAAGUCGAGCGAACAGAUGAGGAGCUUGCUCCUCUGACGUUAGCGGCGGACGGGUGAGUAACACGUGGAUAACCUACCUAUAAGACUGGGAUAACUUCGGGAAACCGGAGCUAAUACCGGAUAAUAUAUUGAACCGCAUGGUUCAAUAGUGAAAGACGGUUUUGCUGUCACUUAUAGAUGGAUCCGCGCCGCAUUAGCUAGUUGGUAAGGUAACGGCUUACCAAGGCAACGAUGCGUAGCCGACCUGAGAGGGUGAUCGGCCACACUGGAACUGAGACACGGUCCAGACUCCUACGAGAGGCAGCAGUAGGGAAUCUUCCGCAAUGGGCGAAAGCCUGACGGAGCAACGCCGCGUGAGUGAUGAAGGUCUUCGGAUCGUAAAACUCUGUUAUUAGGGAAGAACAAAUGUGUAAGUAACUAUGCACGUCUUGACGGUACUUAAUCAGAAAGCCACGGCUAACUACGUG
RNAcentral lists this ribosomal RNA (497 nucleotides) under uncultured bacterium. RNAcentral's name for it is "partial 16S ribosomal RNA". It matches the Rfam family "Bacterial small subunit ribosomal RNA", at positions 28 to 507 of the family's 1533-position model. The record is from RNAcentral.